RNAcentral lists this ribosomal RNA (241 nucleotides) under uncultured bacterium. RNAcentral's name for it is "partial 16S ribosomal RNA". It matches the Rfam family "Bacterial small subunit ribosomal RNA", at positions 335 to 591 of the family's 1533-position model. The record is from RNAcentral.
UGCCUACGGGACGCAGCAGUGGGGAAUAUUGGGCAAUGGGCGCAAGCCUGACCCAGCAACGCCGCGUGAAGGAAGAAGGCUUUCGGGUUGUAAACUUCUUUUCUCAGGGACGAAGAAAGGGACGGUACCUGAGGAAUAAGCCACGGCUAACUAAGUGCCAGCAGCUGCGGUAAUACGUAGGUGGCAAGCGAUAUGCGGAUUUACUGGGUGUAAAGGGCGUGUAGGCGGGAAAGGAAGUCAG